RNAcentral lists this ribosomal RNA (253 nucleotides) under uncultured bacterium. RNAcentral's name for it is "partial 16S ribosomal RNA". It matches the Rfam family "Bacterial small subunit ribosomal RNA", at positions 524 to 776 of the family's 1533-position model. The record is from RNAcentral.
UACGUAGGGGGCAAGCGUUGUCCGGAAUCAUUGGGCGUAAAGAGCGUGUAGGCGGCCCGAUAAGUCCGCCGUGAAAGUCCAGGGCUCAACCCUGGAAUGCCGGUGGAAACUGUCGGGCUGGAGUCCGGAAGAGGCGAGUGGAAUUCCUGGUGUAGCGGUGAAAUGCGCAGAUAUCAGGAAGAACACCAAUGGCGAAGGCAGCUCUCUGGGACGGUACUGACGCUGAGACGCGAAAGCGUGGGGAGCGAACAGG